UAGUCCACGCAGUAAACGAUGAGUGCUAGUUAUCGGGUCUUUGGGUCUCGGUGGCGAAGCUAACGCGUUAAGCACUCCGCCUGGGGAGUACGGCCGCAAGGCUAAAACUCAAAGGAAUUGACGGGGACCCGCACAAGCAGUGGAGCAUGUGGUUUAAUUCGAUGCUACGCGAAAAACCUUACCAGCUCUUGUAUCCUGGUCGCGAUUUUCAGAGAUGAAUUUCUUCAGUUCGGCUGGACCAGUGACAGGUGUUGCAUGGCUGUCGUCAGCUCGUGUCGUGAGAUGUUAGGUUAAGUCCUUCAACGAGCGCAACCCUCAUCCUUAUUUGCCAUCGAGUAAUGUCGGGAACUAUAAGGAAACUGCCAACGACAAGUUGGAGGAAGGUGAGGAUGAUGUCAAGUCAUCAUGGCCCUUAUGGGCUGGGCUACACACAUGCUACAAUGGUGGUUACAACGGGACGCGAAGGAGCAAUCCGGAGCCAAUCCAAUCAAAAGCC
This 496-nucleotide ribosomal RNA is filed under the name uncultured bacterium. RNAcentral describes it as "bacterial SSU rRNA". It matches the Rfam family "Bacterial small subunit ribosomal RNA", at positions 791 to 1284 of the family's 1533-position model. The record is from RNAcentral.